AUUACCCAAUCCUGACACAGGGAGGUAGUGACAAGAAAUAACAAUACGGGGCUUAAGUCUUGUAAUUGGAAUGAUGGGAAUUUAAACCUCUUCCAGAGUAUCAAUUGGAGGGCAAGUCUGGUGCCAGCAGCCGCGGUAAUUCCAGCUCCAAUAGCGUAUAUUAAAAUUGUUGCAGUUAAAAAGCUCGUAGUUGAAUUUCUGCUGUAUUGCAUUUUCUCUUUUUAUAUGAGUUUUUGCAUUAUGGCUUAUUUCAGUAUUAAUUUUUUAUUAUUACUGAAUGUUUACUUUGAGAAAAUUAGAGUGCUCAAAGCAGGCUUUUGCCUUGAAUAGUUUAGCAUGGAAUAAUAAAGUAGGACUUUGGUUCUAUUUUGUUGGUUUUAGGUACCAAAGUAAUGGUUAAUAGGAACAGUUGGGGGCAUUCGUAUUUAA
RNAcentral lists this ribosomal RNA (429 nucleotides) under Babesia sp. Its description in RNAcentral is "SSU rRNA". It matches the Rfam family "Eukaryotic small subunit ribosomal RNA", at positions 440 to 901 of the family's 1831-position model. Lineage: Eukaryota; Apicomplexa; Aconoidasida; Piroplasmida; Babesiidae. The record is from RNAcentral.